This 303-nucleotide long non-coding RNA is filed under the name Crocodylus porosus (Australian saltwater crocodile). RNAcentral describes it as "lncRNA (ENSCPRG00005012775.1)". Lineage: Eukaryota; Metazoa; Chordata; Crocodylia; Crocodylidae. The record is from RNAcentral.
GCCAGAGAGCCCUGUGUUUCCAUCGUUCAGUAGGUUGUCAGCAUACCUCAUUCGCAGCCUUGCCAGACACAGCAAUGGUCCCACAUUCACUAGAGAAAACCAGCCCGGGACCUGAGCUUCCUGCCAAACCCUCGUCAGCUUUUGCCUUCCCUUGGUUUGAUUUCAAGGCGGGAUUGCUGCGGUUUCUGCGGUAAAGAAGAAGAGAAAUACCUUGGAAUGCACAAAACACAAAGAGCAGCCAGGCCCAUGCAAGUGCUGCAGAGACGCCGGCUGAAUGACCAGUCCACCUGGUAAAGUAGCUGA